AUGUUUCUGCUUCAUGAAUAUGAUAUUUUUUGGACAUUUCUAAUAAUAGCAAGCCUUAUUCCUAUUUUGGCAUUUUCGAUUUCAGGACUUUUAGCCCCGGUUAGUGAAGGACCAGAGAAGCUUUCUAGUUAUGAAUCGGGUAUAGAACCCAUGGGAGGGGCUUGGGUACAAUUCCGAAUACGCUAUUAUAUGUUUGCGCUCGUUUUUGUUGUUUUUGAUGUGGAAAUCGUCUUUCUAUACCCUUGGGCAAUGAGUUUCGACGUAUUGGGUGUAUCCGUUUUUAUCGAAGCUUUGAUUUUCAUGCUUAUCUUAGUUGUUGGUUUAGUUUAUGCAUGGCGAAAAGGAGCCUUGGAAUGGUCUUAA
This 363-nucleotide ribosomal RNA is filed under the name Triticum aestivum (bread wheat). RNAcentral describes it as "partial small subunit ribosomal RNA". Lineage: Eukaryota; Viridiplantae; Streptophyta; Magnoliopsida; Poales; Poaceae. The record is from RNAcentral.